UGAAUAAAUCUACUUUUACUGAACUAUGGCUCAUUCUUGAAUUCUUUCCUGUGUGAAGCCAAGGACCCUCCCUUGGCAGGGUGCAUCCCAGGGACUCACCCGGGACCUGGGACACGACCAUCCUCUCGUGCCCCAUUUUCCUGCAUCAAAAGGACCUUCCAUAAUAAGCAUCACUCCUCUAAUCAGCUUUGGGGAAAAGGCUCCUACUCUGGACCAUGACUGUAACAACCUGAGUCAUUGGAAUGAAUAGAUGUUUGAGUGAAUGGUUUGUGAACUGGGGGAGACAAAACUCCCGCAGAAGAAAGAGCUACUGAAAAUUAAAACAGCUCUACAAAACGUUGUGAGGGAUGACGUAAAAGGAAGCAGCAUUCUGAAGAAAUGAAUACGUGUGCAAACGGCAGACCUGGAGCUCAGCUGUAGUGUUCUACACGGCUAGUAACAGUCAUAAUAAAAAUAAGGGUGUUGGGGCUGAUACAAGGAAAGUACAGUAAGGAUCUCUGAGUGCAAAGAGCUGAGAGAUUAUUUACCAAUGUGCGUUUAAAUAUUCCACAACUGCCAGCGCUGACUGCAUGUAUCAACUAAAAGGUGGGUAGCAAGGAAGGCUGUAUGGAAGAGAUGGCAUUUAAACCAAAGCUGGCAGUAAGGAUGGAAUUUGGACAUGAUGGGGGCAGAGUAAAGUAAUUUCAGAAUGAAUGAACAAGUGACCAAAGUGAAAAAGUGACUGGAAUUGAAAAAAUGUGGUUUAUGUGCACCUAUGUGUAAGGAUAGGGUACUUUAACCAGACAGUUUGUGUAAACUGUGACUAAAAAUUUACCUUGACUAUUAAAAAGCAAAUACAACCGAACACUUACAACUAAAUGUAUGUCAUUUCCUUCCAAAAUUAG
Molecule: non-coding RNA, 884 nt
Organism: Vicugna pacos (alpaca)
Lineage: Eukaryota; Metazoa; Chordata; Mammalia; Artiodactyla; Camelidae
Source: RefSeq, a predicted model, not a curated record